Molecule: ribosomal RNA, 253 nt
Filed under: uncultured bacterium
Lineage: Bacteria
Description: partial 16S ribosomal RNA
Rfam family: Bacterial small subunit ribosomal RNA
Source: RNAcentral
UACGGAGGGUGCAAGCGUUAUCCGGAUUCACUGGGUUUAAAGGGUGCGUAGGCGGGUAUAUAAGUCAGUGGUGAAAGCUCCGGGCUUAACUUGGAAACUGCCAUUGAUACUGUAUAUCUUGAAUGUCGUUGAGGUAAGCGGAAUGUUGCAUGUAGCGGUGAGAUGCUUAGAUAUGUUACAGAACACCAAUUGUGAAGACAGCUUACUAAGCGAUGAUUGACGCUGAGGCACGAAAGCGUGGGGAGCAAACAGG